RNAcentral lists this ribosomal RNA (422 nucleotides) under uncultured bacterium. RNAcentral describes it as "partial 16S ribosomal RNA". It matches the Rfam family "Bacterial small subunit ribosomal RNA", at positions 360 to 774 of the family's 1533-position model. The record is from RNAcentral.
AUUAUUGGACAAUGGUGGCAACCCUGAUCCAGCCAUGCCUCGUGUGUGAAGAAGGUCUUCGGAUAGUAAAUCACUUUAAGGUGGGAGGUAUGGCUUUAGGCUAAUACACUGAAGUUCUGUCGUUCGCAACAGAAUAAACUCCGGCUAACCCUGUGCCAGCAGCCGCGGUAAUACAGAGGGUGCAAGCGUUAAUCGGAGUUACUGUGCGUAAAGCGCGCGUAGGUGGUUCAAGAAGAUGAGUGUGAAAUCCCCGGGCUUAACCUGGGAACUGCUUUCAUAACUGCUGAGCUAGAGUACGGUAGAGGGUAGUGGAAUUUCCUGUGUAGCGGUGAAAUGCGUAGAUAUAGGAAGGAACACCAGUGGCGAAGGCGACUACCUGGACUGAUACUGACACUGAGGUGCGAAAGCGUGGGGAGCAAACA